This 3373-nucleotide unclassified non-coding RNA is filed under the name Neodiprion lecontei (redheaded pine sawfly). RNAcentral describes it as "nADPH:adrenodoxin oxidoreductase, mitochondrial, transcript variant X7". The record is from RNAcentral. Lineage: Eukaryota; Metazoa; Arthropoda; Insecta; Hymenoptera; Diprionidae.
CCGACUUAGUUCGGUCAUGGAAAGCCCCAAUUUGGCUAGCAGUCACUAUGUGUCUUCAGUCAACGGUAUCAAGAAAUUCGCUUUCUUCUUAACACGCGAAGUAAAUAGCAUGAGAACAUCUUUGUCCUCUAUUGCUAGACGUAGCAGACCAAUUCAAACGGACUGGUCUCUGCAAGAGACUGUGGUUGCUUAUUUGAGCGACCGAGGGCCGAGAUUACCCAAGCAUGGAUUUGAUUAUUUGGUGAGAGCGCACCCAAGGAGCGCACAGCACAAGUAUAACGCUGUACGGUCACAUGGUGUCAAACAAGCAACAAUACCAUCAAUUGAGUGUAUUCUCAUUUGCGUAGGUGAGAAAAUACGUGUUUUUCUAUCUAAAUUGCUCACAUCGUCAAGCAUAUACAGUUGUUUUGUCUGAAUAUAUUAUUUGAAUAAAGAUUUAACAGACGAGAGCUUUUCUCUUAAUUUAUUGAUAAAAAAUAACUCUAUGUAUAAAGUCCAAUAUACGAAACAGCCUGCGGUACUUUUAUUCUAUUGAAACCUCACUUAUGUGCCGGUACUGUAUGAAAAAGAUAGGACCAUUUUUUUUAUUGAAUUUUCCUGAAAAAACUGCAGGUCAUAACAUUAUAUGGACUGUCGUAUGAGCAAAACGAAUGUAGAUUCGGUAAUAGAAUGGGGAGUAAGGAGGAUAUAUUUGGAAAAAAGCGGCAUUUGAAUGAAAUGUCAAACGCUGAAUUACCAAAGGCGUUUACUUCGUCAAAUCGUAAUCAUUGGCAAAAAAGAUCAAGAAGCGAUAAAGCCUUUGAACCGCUAGUCGAAAGUUUGUUUAAAAAACAAUUCUUAAUUGAAAACGAUAACUUCAUUAUCCCUAAACCAGAAACAAUGUUUACCGAUAAUCCAUGGGAUAUAAAUAGGCUACAAAUAUUGAAAAGAGAGCUAAACGAUAUAAAAAACAAGUUAAACGAUUAUGACAUCGCCACGUGGCAUCAGCACACAAGCCGAAGAAACAGAGCUGGAGAUGUGCAGUGGCGUCUCCGUAAUGAAAUAGAUCCGGAAUUCCUGACUCAGGCAUGGUGUAAAUUUUAUGAAAAUGUAUCUUGUUUCCCAUUGGUACCAAACACUGCUGUAAAGGCUGAGAAACUUUUGUCAGUUCACCUGUGUGAGGCACCUGGUGCUUUCAUUACAUCUUUAAAUCACUGGUUAAGGUUGAACGCACCUAAUGUACAAUGGGACUGGACUGCUAUGACAUUAAAUCCAUAUUAUGAAGGGAACCCUCUUUCUUGUAUGAUAAAUGACGAUAGAUUUAUCAUAUCCUCCUUGAAUCAAUGGUGCUUCGGCAGUGAUUAUACUGGGAAUCUGAUGAAUCUAAAAAACAUGAUGAAUCUGGUUGAAAAGUGUCAAGAAAAAGGAGAUGUAUUAUUGGUUACAGCUGAUGGCAGUAUAGAUUGUACUAAUGAUCCUGGAGAGCAAGAAUCAACCGUUGCACCGUUGCAUUAUUGCGAAGCAGUCACAGGCCUUUUGCUACUAUCCGAGCACGGAAGUCUACUCCUGAAAAUGUUUACAAUAUUUGAACAUGAUUCAUUGUGCUUAGUUUACCUUAUUUCCUGUUUGUUCCAUCAAGUAUUUAUAAACAAGCCUGCAACCAGCAAAGAGGGAAAUUCUGAAAUAUAUUUGGUAUGCUUGGAUUAUCGAGGACCAAGCUAUAUUGCUCCUUAUUUGAACAUAUUGAAAAAAUAUUAUGAGAAACGUCCAGAUAAAUCAAUGUUCCGUAAAGAGGAUAUACCAGAUGAAUUUUUCCAACAAAUGAUCUCAUGCGGCGAGUUCUUCAAAGCUUAUCAGAGUGAAGUGAUAUUAAAGAAUAUAGAAGCCUAUCAUUGCGGCGAGGAUAAUGGACAGUUAGAUUUUGAAACUAAAAAAAUUAAACGCCUUGUUGCAAAUAAAUUCAUAUCAACGUAUGGUCUUCGAAAACUGGAAAAUGAAAGUUUAGAAGUAGUUGGAAAAACUAAACUGACACACAUCCAUUCCAUCAAUUUGGAUCCAAGAAUACCAGAUGGCUCAUACAAUAGACGGCGAGUAAUGGAAAAUCUAGAGCCAGAAUGCCUUCUCUUAACGCUAUGUCAAAAUCUAAUUCCAAUUCAAGUUCGAGAAAUGACACGGUGGUUUACAUUCACAGGACCUUUGGAUGCAUUGCAAAUCUGCUGUGGAAAAUUGUUUCUGAAAGUGCAGAGUUCUAAAUUCUGUACAGGAAAGUUUUUGAAAAUUCGUAACAGAGUUUUUGAACUAUCGGAAAAACUUGGUAUUGAUCAUCCCUGCAGUCAAGUAGAAUCCAUUCGAAACUUUGUAAAUGUGUUAGAAAGUGAUACGAAGAAUUAUAAGUAUUUGGGUUUUGAACCAUCAAUUACACAAAACAAUAACAGUAGUUUAAGCAAGAUAAAUAAAGAACUGGAGAACAUACUAGAAGGGGACAGUCUGGUUUUGAUUGGCUAUUCUUUGUUAACUCAGUUGAAUGUAGGAAUUCUAUACAUAUUGGCCCACACAUUUAAAUCACUCGGUGUGAUAUUGGAUGAAAAAUUUGGCUGCAUAAUUAUAUUGAAGCAUAAUUUACACACUAAAAGUAUAUUGGAGUGUUUUAAAGAAGUUCUCAAUGCUACGAUUAAAGCUGAAGCCUCUGGUGAAUCUGUACUAUCAGUUUUACCUGUCACAAAACUUUGUGGUAAGAAUAAAGCUUUGUCCAUCCUAAGUAAUUUUCUUAUUAAAUCAAACACUCUAUUACAAAUUUCUUACCAAUUUCAUACUUUUAGAAAGCGAUCUUUAUCCCAACAUCGUUGACGCUAAUCAUUGGACCAUCGCGCACUGUGUGAAAGGAAUUGGUGAAUGUGUGCAAAAAAAGUUAUCAACACAAAUGGGAAUUACUGGACACAGUUAAAUAAACUUCGAAAUAUUUGUACAGAGCAAUGUAAUAUUUUAUGCAAGAAUUUUAUGACUCAUCCAAACUGGAUACGUUGAUGCGAUUUAUGAAUUAUAUACUUAUCUGACGAAUAAAUAGUAUAAAUGAGACAUUGAGAAUAUAUUCUUUAACAUACCUUGUAGGUCUCUAAGUUUCCAUAUCGAUAGAUAAGUAUGCUAUACAUACUUAUGUUUUAUUCAUCGCACAUUGACCUAAAUGCCCGUAUUUGAAGUUACUUUUACGUGGUAUACUCUACCGGUGAUGCCCAAGAUAAAAUCAAAAGCUCUUUCUGUAGCAAAGCAGUUAAUAUACCUAGUUUUCUUGAAAUAGUUGCGUAAUACUUCAGAGUUCUUCAGCUACUCAUUCUAACUGCUCUAGAUUAGACCGAGUGUUUCUAAGUGUAGUGAAGGUGGCGUAUUAUCAAUUAAU